This 798-nucleotide ribosomal RNA is filed under the name uncultured bacterium. RNAcentral describes it as "bacterial SSU rRNA". It matches the Rfam family "Bacterial small subunit ribosomal RNA", at positions 24 to 795 of the family's 1533-position model. The record is from RNAcentral.
UCAGAACGAACGCNGGCGGCGUGGAUAAGACAUGCAAGUCGAACGCUGAUUACAGGGUAGCAAUAUUCUGUAGUCGGAGUGGCGCAAGGGUGCGUAACACGUGGGUAAUCUGCCGUGAAGUCUGGAAUAACUUGCUGAAAGGCGAGCUAAUGCCGGAUGUGAAAAUUGGAAGGCAUCUUUUGAUUUUCAAAGUUGGGGACCGCAAGGCCUGACGCUUCACGAUGAACCCGCGGCCUAUCAGCUAGUUGGUGAGGUAACGGCUCACCAAGGCUAAGACGGGUAGCUGGUCUGAGAGGACGACCAGCCACACUGGAACUGAGACACGGUCCAGACACCUACGGGUGGCAGCAGUCGAGAAUUUUUCACAAUGGGGGAAACCCUGAUGGAGCGACGCCGCGUGGGGGAUGAAUGGCUUCGGCCCGUAAACCCCUGUCAUUCGGGAUCAAUGCGUCUGACCUAACACGUCAGACGUUGAUAGUACCGGAAGAGGAAGGGACGGCUAACUCUGUGCCAGCAGCCGCGGUAAUACAGAGGUCCCAAGCGUUGUUCGGAUUUACUGGGCGUAAAGGGUGCGUAGGUGGUCGGGUAAGUCUGAUGUGAAAUCUCGGAGCUCAACUCCGAAACUGCAUUGGAUACUAUUCGGCUUGAGGAUUGGAGGGGGGACUGGAAUUCUCGGUGUAGCAGUGAAAUGCGUAGAUAUCGAGAGGAACACCAGUGGCGAAGGCGAGUCCCUGGACAAAUCCUGACACUAAGGCACGAAAGCUAGGGGAGCAAACAGGAUUAGAUACCCUGGUAGUC